AUGUUCAGUACCUGCAGAGGCAGCGCAGGUGUUGAAGGUGGCAGCUCGCUCAGGUCUCCAGUCAGGUGGUUGAAGCUGACGUCAAGGACAACGAUGCUGCUUGACGACACCAACUCCAGCGGCAAGCCACCGGACAGCGAGUUGCGCGACAGGUUGAGGUGGAGGAGGCUGGUGAGGUUGCCCAGGGACGGCGAGAUGGACCCCUCGAGGCCUCGAGAAGCCAGCGAAACAUCGGUGACCGCCCCAUUGGGGCCGCCGCAGGUGAUCCCUUCCCACGAGCAGCAGUCCCUAUCCCUCCGCCAUGUCGCCGCGAGGCCCCCGUCCCGCGAGAGCCCAGCGAGGAGCCGGAGGAGGGAGCUCCUCUCCUGCGCCGUGCAGGAGCUGGACGGAGAGGCCAAGGAGACGAGCAGCAGCAAGAGCGCCAAGCCGACGAAGGCCCUUUAG
RNAcentral lists this ribosomal RNA (444 nucleotides) under Triticum aestivum (bread wheat). RNAcentral describes it as "partial small subunit ribosomal RNA". The record is from RNAcentral. Lineage: Eukaryota; Viridiplantae; Streptophyta; Magnoliopsida; Poales; Poaceae.